RNAcentral lists this ribosomal RNA (1069 nucleotides) under Limosilactobacillus mucosae. RNAcentral describes it as "bacterial SSU rRNA". It matches the Rfam family "Bacterial small subunit ribosomal RNA", at positions 1 to 1028 of the family's 1533-position model. The record is from RNAcentral. Lineage: Bacteria; Bacillati; Bacillota; Bacilli; Lactobacillales; Lactobacillaceae.
UAUGAGAGUUUGAUCCUGGCUCAGGAUGAACGCCGGCGGUGUGCCUAAUACAUGCAAGUCGAACGCGUUGGCCCAACAGAUAGAACGUGCUUGCACGGACUUGACGUUGGUUUACCAGCGAGUGGCGGACGGGUGAGUAACACGUAGGUAACCUGCCCCAAAGCGAGGGAUAACAUUUGGAAACAGAUGCUAAUACCGCAUAACAGUUUGAAUCGCAUGAUUCAAACUUAAAAGAUGGUUUCGGCUAUCACUUUGGGAUGGACCUGCGGCGCAUUAGCUUGUUGGUAGGGUAACGGCCUACCAAGGCUGUGAUGCGUAGCCGAGUUGAGAGACUGAUCGGCCACAAUGGAACUGAGACACGGUCCAUACUCCUACGGGAGGCAGCAGUAGGGAAUCUUCCACAAUGGGCGCAAGCCUGAUGGAGCAACACCGCGUGAGUGAAGAAGGGUUUCGGCUCGUAAAGCUCUGUUGUUAGAGAAGAACGUGCGUGAGAGUAACUGUUCACGCAGUGACGGUAUCUAACCAGAAAGUCACGGCUAACUACGUGCCAGCAGCCGCGGUAAUACGUAGGUGGCAAGCGUUAUCCGGAUUUAUUGGGCGUAAAGCGAGCGCAGGCGGUUUGAUAAGUCUGAUGUGAAAGCCUUUGGCUUAACCAAAGAAGUGCAUCGGAAACUGUCAGACUUGAGUGCAGAAGAGGGCAGUGGAACUCCAUGUGUAGCGGUGGAAUGCGUAGAUAUAUGGAAGAACACCAGUGGCGAAGGCGGCUGUCUGGUCUGCAACUGACGCUGAGGCUCGAAAGCAUGGGUAGCGAACAGGAUUAGAUACCCUGGUAGUCCAUGCCGUAAACGAUGAGUGCUAGGUGUUGGAGGGUUUCCGCCCUUCAGUGCCGCAGCUAACGCAUUAAGCACUCCGCCUGGGGAGUACGACCGCAAGGUUGAAACUCAAAGGAAUUGACGGGGGCCCGCACAAGCGGUGGAGCAUGUGGUUUAAUUCGAAGCUACGCGAAGAACCUUACCAGGUCUUGACAUCUUGCGCCAACCCUAGAGAUAGGGCGUUUCCUUCGGGAACG